RNAcentral lists this ribosomal RNA (376 nucleotides) under uncultured eukaryote. Its description in RNAcentral is "partial 18S ribosomal RNA". It matches the Rfam family "Eukaryotic small subunit ribosomal RNA", at positions 592 to 975 of the family's 1831-position model. The record is from RNAcentral.
CAAUAGCGUAUAUUAAAGUUGUUGCAGUUAAAAAGCUCGUAGUUGGAUUUGUGGUGUACGCCGGCGGCCCGUCGCAAGACGGAGCUUGCUUGCGUCGCCAUCCUUGGGUGGAUCCUGUGUGGCAUUCAGUUGUCGUGCAGGGGAUGCCCAUCGUUUACUGUGAAAAAAUUAGAGUGUUCAAAGCAGGCUUAUGCCGUUGAAUAUAUUAGCAUGGAAUAAUAAGAUAGGACCUUGGUACUAUUUUGUUGGUUUGCGCACCAAGGUAAUGAUUAAUAGGGACAGUUGGGGGUAUUCGUAUUCCAUUGUCAGAGGUGAAAUUCUUGGAUUUUUGGAAGACGAACUACUGCGAAAGCAUUUACCAAGGAUGUUUUCAUUA